Molecule: long non-coding RNA, 415 nt
Organism: Chanos chanos (milkfish)
Lineage: Eukaryota; Metazoa; Chordata; Actinopteri; Gonorynchiformes; Chanidae
Exons: 3
Source: RefSeq, a predicted model, not a curated record
AAGCUCUCUGUUGGACUGAAGGAUUCUAAAUGUAAACUGGAGAAACUGAGGCUGGAAUGCUGUGGUGUCACAGAUGAAGGCUGUGCUGCUCUGGCUUCAGCUCUGACAUCAAACCCCUCACACCUGAGAGAACUGGACCUGAGAUAUAAUUAUAACAUAGGAGACACAGGAAAGAAUCUUCUCUCUGCUCUAAAGGAUGAUCCACAGAAUAAGCUGGAGAAACUGCUGUUCUGAUAAACACUGAUCCUCUAAUGGAUGUGAAUAAGACAGUCAGUGAGAGAAUCCAGUCUGGGUGUGGUGACCUUUAACUGAGUGGGCAGCCGUGCUCUGCAGGAUGGUGAACCGGGCCCGUGACUUAAGGGUUGCCGGUUCGAUUCCCAUAACCAACAUCCAUAGAUGUGUGCCCUUGGGCACA